This 467-nucleotide ribosomal RNA is filed under the name uncultured bacterium. RNAcentral's name for it is "partial 16S ribosomal RNA". It matches the Rfam family "Bacterial small subunit ribosomal RNA", at positions 28 to 507 of the family's 1533-position model. The record is from RNAcentral.
GACGAACGCUGGCGGCGUGCUUAACACAUGCAAGUCGAACGGUGAGAGAAGGGCUUGCUCUUCUGGUUGAGUGGCGAACGGGUGAGUAACACGUGAGUAACCUGCCCCAGACUCUGGGAUAAGCGCUGGAAACGGCGGCUAUACCCGAUACGGGACAGAGCCGCAAGGCUAGUGUCUGGAAAGUUUUUCGGUCUGGGAUGGACUCGCGGCCUAUCAGCUUGUUGGUGGGGUAACGGCUCACCAAGGCAACGACGGGUAGCCGGCCUGAGAGGGCGACCGGCCACACUGGGACUGAGACACGGCCCAGACUCCUACGGGAGGCAGCAGUGGGGAAUAUUGCACAAUGGGAGAAAGCCUGAUGCAGCGACGCCGCGUGAGGGAUGACGGCCUUCGGGUUGUAAACCUCUUUCAGCAGGGAAGAAGCGAAAGUGACGGUACCUGCAGAAGAAGCACCGGCUAACUACGUG